AGUGGGUGUUGUGAUAAGAAAAGGGCUUGCUUUCAUAAGCUCCUCUUCUACUUCUUCUGCUACUUCCUCUUCUACCAUCUUGGAGACACAUUCACAUUGAAGAUUUUGGUGUCAUAGCUCAAAUGGAAAAUGCCAAUAUGGGAGAUAAGGAGGCUAAACAACAGCUCUAACGAGACUUGGAAAGAGAAGAAAUAGUGCAGCCCCAAUGCCAUCUUCGCCGUAUUGUGAGCGGUUGUAUUGCCUGUUAUUAUAAAAGAGAGAAAAGAGAAUGAAAACUGACCUGAGAUUAUGUUGGAAUAAAUUGAAUUACAGAGUAAGUGCAGAGGCACUUAUAUAUGUAUAUUAUAUAAUGGUACAACCGAUUAAGACAUGAACUGAAUCUAACAGCUUCAACUAACUUAUAACUAACUUCUAACAAGAUUAACUAAUAACAAAAUUACCAAAAAAGAUAGAAAAUAAAUAAGGGUAAAUUCUAUUAUCCUCCCCUCAAGAACUGUAUAUAUCAUAUAAAAACAUUUUACUUAUAUGAGAGGAAAGAGUAGUAGAAGGUAGAAAUUUGGCAAAAGCAUUAGCUAAUUUGAUUGAGUGUAGUCUUGACUGGUAUGAGCCUUAUAGUAGAAUCUUUGAUUUUAUCUCUAAUGAAAUGAUAAUUUAACUAUACAAUAUACGAUGUAAAGUCUCUGUAUGCACACAAAGUCGAAGUUCGAGACUACAAGCUUCUUUGCCUUGCAAGAGUGGAAGUAAGAGAUCAAAAGUUCUCUUUAGUUGGAAUUCUUGGAGGCCAUAUGAUCACUUUCUGGUUAUGGAUAGCUUUAAGGUAGAUUGAGGCGAUUGACACUCACAGCGGACCUUUCCAGUCCUUGGCCACCAAAUCUGUGUCUAUGAUCCACAAUUAUAGUAGCGAUCUCGAGAGGAGUUCGGAUCUGAGUUGAAGAAGGAGACCUCUGUCUUCUGUUAAGUGAUCUCAUGCGCCGGACCUCCCUAAUUCGCUUGAAGUAGGCGCCUUUGUCGCUUUGGAGUCGCUCAAAUCGGUUGGUCGUAUAAUCAAUGACAAUAAGUUUUCUAUCCUUUUAAUCUCUCUUUGAUUUUCAACUUUUAUCCUUUCACUGCAAUGCUAUUUUUUAUAUGCAUGGUUUUGUUUUCUUAUUAUUAAUCAAGUUUAUAUAUGUAUUUACAAUACUUAUGUGUGAAAUCUGAAGAGGUUAGUGAUUCUCAAUUUUAUAUUUACUUAUGUCGAACACUUUUAUUCGUGAUUGGAAGCAAUUCCAAAUAUUUUAUCUAUAAAACGAAAGUGGCAGCAACACAAAUUGGCUAUUGUUCUUGGUGGCUCACUUUAGGCGGAGGCGUGGAGAUGACAUUCCAUUCAAUGAUAGUAAUCGGAAAAGUAAUUGUAUAUUUGUUUCAUUUUUAUAUUUGACUUUUUUAUAUAAAUAGAAUUUAUUGCUUUUUAUAUUAAAUUUUAUUGAUAUUAAUUGUAACACGUUUUUUCAACUUUUUCAAAAUGUAAUUGGUUAAAUUUCAAAAUGCAAUUUUAUUAAAAUUAAAUUAAUUACUUUUUGGUUUUUUCCUUAAAAAAAUUUAUUCUAUUAGCUCUUACUUUUAAUUUUAAGCUAAUCUUUUGGUCUAUUAAGAUUUAUUUUAUUAGCUGUAACUUUUUAAUUUUAAUUUUAAGCUAAUCCUUUGAUUAAUAGAAUUAAAUAGUGGAGAAAAUUAAGUUAAGUAAUUACUUUCUAUAUUUAAUUUAUUAAAUUUUGUCUUCAUUUUAAAUUAUUUUACAUUAAAUUAUCUUUUUUGGUUAUCAAUUAGAUUUUUUAUAUCUAGUAAUUGACAGAUUGAUUUGUGUGUCAAUUAUGUCUUUGUAAUUAUAUUAAUUUCAUUCACACUUCAAAAUCUUAAAUAAUUUUAUGUCAAUCUUACCUUUUAUUUUAUUAAUUAUUUCUUUUAAAAAUUCUUUAUAUGAUUGACUGUCAAUUAGUAUUUUUUAAUUAUAUUAACAAUAAUUUAUGUAUAUAAUAUUUUCUAGGUUCGUUUUUUCACAAGUUUAUAGUUUUGAUUCUUUUGAAAGGUGAAUUUUUUUGUGAUUUUUUGGUAUUUAUUUAGAACAUUUACACAAUUAAUUAUAUUUGUAAUUGAUUUAUUUAUGUAUAUUUUAUAUUAAUUAAUUUUUCAAUUUAUUUAUAAAUCAAUUAAUAAAUUUUAGUUAAUAUUUUUUACUUUAUUUCAUAUGAAUUUACAUUACUUUUUCCUUAUAUGCCUUUUAUGGCUUUUGUACCAUUUUUAUGGCUUGUCCCUAUAUGUUUAGGGUAAUUUUGUAGUAUGCUCAAUUGGCAAAAGAAUGAUUUCUUUUGUACUCAUAAUUUCUACUUCAACGACCUUUUCACUUUAAACAGAUAAGUAUUUCAAUUUUUUAUGUCUUUAUAUUUAAUAUGGAUUGAUUUAUCAUUGUUCUAUCACAUUAUCUUUUUUUUAUUAUAUUGUGCGGUAAUAGGGUUAUUUUUUGUUAUUUUGCAGGUUAUUUUGUGGAGGGCCUACAAUAACAGGAAUUUUACUCCUAACUUUAAUUUUAUAUAUAAUUUUUUGAUUUUGAUUUUCAGCAAUUUAUAUUUGGGUGUUAGUAUUUUGUUACUAGCCAAAGGGUAAUAUCUUUGGCUAGUUAUUCUUAGUAAUUUGUUUUUUUUUUUUUUAAUUUUUAGUAAUGUUGAGCUAGUGAUCUGAGUUGCGUGUUAAUUUUUUUAGUUUGUAUAUUUAUUUUUAUUUGAAGAUUGUCAUUCUAAUAUAAUUGUAUUUUUUGGUUUGGUGUUGCAUUGUUUUUUCAGUUUCGCUAGCUCUGGAGACAAUUAUUAAUGAUGGGGAGGUAUUUUUUCAAUGUGAUGUGGUGUUAUUUUGAAGACAUAGCUUGAUUGUCUAAAUUUCCGGGGGCAGCUUUGUCCUAUGUGGCUCGGUUUAAAAUUCUGCCGCACAUGGUUUGGCAAAGCAUGCCCUUCGGUUAGACGAUGAGCUAUCCUGGUUCGAGGAGAUGUCUCCCCCGAUUGUGGAUUGCUACUUUGUUUAAUCAUGUGUGAUUUUGAUCACCGCGUCAAAAAAAAAAUGAUAAUUUAACUUGAUGUUUUUAGUUCUUUCGUGAAAAGUAGGAUUAUUCGCGAUAAAUACAGUAGAUUGAUUAUCACAAUAAAUGAAGGCAAGGGUGCAUUGAUGAACAUGUAGGUUGUUUAAGAGGUGCCGAAUCUAAGUGAUUUUACUUCUUGUAGCACUAAGGGUGCAUUGAUGAACAUGUAGGUUGUUAUAAUUAGCUCUCUGAGAAGUGUUUCGAUUUAUGUUGUUAAACAAUAAGUAAAUAUAGUGGCUCAUUCAUUUGCAAGAGUCUCUAUAUUAUAUCUUCAUUGUCGUUUCAAUUUGGAAACUAUUCCAACUGAUUUGUUGCCUCAUUUGAUAACCGAAAUUAUUAAUUAAUAAAGUGAUGAUUUUUCAUUAAAAAUAUAUAUAUAAAUCUCCCUCUUCUUUUCUCUAUAUUGCCUAUUAUUUUAUUAAGGCUUGUUUGUAACGUCGUAUUAGGUUGUAUUAUAUUGAACUGGAUUAUGGGCCCGUUUGACACAACUUUUGGAAAAGUUAAAA
This is an RNA transcript of Cannabis sativa, 3612 nucleotides long. RefSeq lists it as uncharacterized. Lineage: Eukaryota; Viridiplantae; Streptophyta; Magnoliopsida; Rosales; Cannabaceae. The record is from RefSeq and is a predicted model, not a curated record. The transcript is spliced from 2 exons.